CAGUGAGGAAUAAUGGUCAAAGGAGGAGAGUCUGAACCAGCCAAUUCGCGUGAAGGAAGACUGCCCUAGGGGUUGUAAACUUCUUUUGUACAGGAAUAAAACUCAAUACGUGUAGUGUAUUGGAUGUACUGUACGAAUAAGCAUCGGCUAACUCC
This 155-nucleotide ribosomal RNA is filed under the name uncultured Bacteroidota bacterium. RNAcentral describes it as "uncultured Bacteroidetes bacterium partial 16S rRNA". It matches the Rfam family "Bacterial small subunit ribosomal RNA", at positions 352 to 504 of the family's 1533-position model. The record is from RNAcentral. Lineage: Bacteria; Pseudomonadati; Bacteroidota.